UGAGAUGCCUGGAAGAGAGAUUCUGAUUGGC
Molecule: non-coding RNA, 31 nt
Filed under: Homo sapiens (human)
Lineage: Eukaryota; Metazoa; Chordata; Mammalia; Primates; Hominidae
Source: RNAcentral